Molecule: long non-coding RNA, 767 nt
Filed under: Arachis ipaensis
Lineage: Eukaryota; Viridiplantae; Streptophyta; Magnoliopsida; Fabales; Fabaceae
Description: long non-coding RNA (AIPA_LNC002325)
Source: RNAcentral
UUCUCCUCCGUACUAUUACCAAUCCCCACCACCACCUUCACCAAAACCCAAUCCUCCAUAUUACUACCAAUCCCCACCUCCACCUUCACCAAAACCCAAGCCUCCGUACUACUACCAAUCUCCACCUCCACCAACACCAGUAGUAAAGCCACCUUACUACUACCAAUCUCCACCUCCACCAUCACCGGUACCCAAACCUCCAUACUACUACCAAUCACCACCUCCACCAUCACCAAAACCCAAGCCUCCAUACUACUACCAAUCCCCACCUCCACCAACACCAGUAGUAAAGCCACCUUACUACUACCAAUCUCCACCUCCACCAUCACCGGUACCCAAACCUCCAUACUACUACCAAUCACCACCUCCACCAUCACCAAAACCCAAGCCUCCAUACUACUACCAAUCCCCACCUCCUCCAUCACCAGUACCUAAGCCUCCAUACUACUACCAAUCUCCACCACCCCCAUCACCAGUACCCAAGCCUCCAUACUAUUACCAAUCUCCACCUCCACCUUCACCGAAACCCAAGCCUCCGUACUAUUACCAAUCCCCACCACCACCUUCACCAAAACCAAAGCCUCCGUACUAUUACCAAUCCCCACCUCCACCAUCGCCAGUACCCAAGCCUCCGUACUACUACCAAUCUCCGCCUCCACCAUCACCGGUACCUAAACCUCCAUACUACUACCAAUCUCCACCUCCACCAUCACCAGUAACAAAGCCUCCGUACUAUUACCAAUCUCCGCCUCCACCAUCACCGGUAC